This 253-nucleotide ribosomal RNA is filed under the name uncultured bacterium. RNAcentral describes it as "partial 16S ribosomal RNA". It matches the Rfam family "Bacterial small subunit ribosomal RNA", at positions 524 to 776 of the family's 1533-position model. The record is from RNAcentral.
UACGGAGGGUGCGAGCGUUGUUCGGAAUCAUUGGGCGUAAAGGGCGUGUAGGUGGUCUGUUAAGUCAUGUGUGAAAGCCCUCGGCUCAACCGGGGAAGUGCGCAUGAAACUGACAAGCUAGAGUACCAAAGAGGAGGGUGGAAUUCCCGGUGUAGUGGUGAAAUGCGUAGAUAUCGGGAGGAACACCAGUGGCGAAGGCGACUUCCUGGCCUGUUCUUGACGCUGAGGCGCGAAAGCUAGGGGAGCAAACGGG